Pygocentrus nattereri (red-bellied piranha) is the source of this 459-nucleotide long non-coding RNA. RefSeq lists it as uncharacterized. The record is from RefSeq and is a predicted model, not a curated record. Lineage: Eukaryota; Metazoa; Chordata; Actinopteri; Characiformes; Serrasalmidae. The transcript has 5 exons.
CUCUGCUAACCACUGUUGUCUCUGGUGUUGGCAUGACAACAAUCAACAUGAUGGAUUGGCCGUGUCCCAGCAACUAGAACAUUUGCAAGGAAGAUCUGGAUCUGGCCACCUGGUAUUCUGCUCUGGGCGAAAACACCUGCCUGUCCUGCUUCAUGUUAGAGUGAAUGGAUGUGGAAUUUGAGCUCCUCUCUGCUUCAUAUUUAGCGCUUUUUCUCCUGACCUUGGUGGUCAUGGUGGAGUGGGGAGCCCUGCCAGCCCAGAAGACUUAUUCCCUCAAUUUAACAGCAGUCUGAGGUGUUUCUCCUGCAUCAUCGGAUCAAUGAAAAUUGGAGUUACAUCUUAUCCUGGCUCUCAGAGAGAGUGUGUCAGGUGGCCUGCGGAGAUUGACGCUCAGUGUUUGCAUUGGAGGACAAGAGGGCUACUCCUUUUGGACAUUGUGACGUCUGGCCCCUUUCACCA